This 936-nucleotide long non-coding RNA is filed under the name Anas platyrhynchos platyrhynchos (common mallard). Its description in RNAcentral is "lncRNA (ENSAPLG00000028053.1)". The record is from RNAcentral. Lineage: Eukaryota; Metazoa; Chordata; Aves; Anseriformes; Anatidae.
UGCCACACGGGGUAAAGGUGCUCAAGAGAGCUGGUGAGUUUUUCUGAGACCUGAGGACCAAAUCAGCUCUUGUGUGUGAAGACAGAAACUAUGUCAGAAGGCUCUCUUGACUAAGCAAUAAGCUUAUUAAUGUGUGGAAAUGGAAAUGCAACCACACAAGAAGCAGAAACAAGCAUGGGCCAUCAAGGGCAGGGAGAAAUAUCUCCCCUGGCUGUGUGCAGUCAGCUCUAGUUUGAAUGUAAGAGAAUAUUUUGAGUUGGUCUUCAUCAUCACCCAGAAUCACACUACUGGGAAUGGCAGCAGUAUCCUUUGGCACUGUGAAGUCACCUCCAGAAAUAGUGGCUCAUGGCUCUCUUCAGGUUAUUCCAAUAUCAUACGCCAGUUCAUCCCCAGCUUCUCUGUGAAGGAAGAUGCUCAGCCCCUGGCUGUAUGUUGUGUGGAUGCACGCCUUCCAGGUGAUUUGGAGAGCAAACACCAGCUAUCCUCUUUUCCAUUUCAAAAAUGGAAAGGACAGGGAGACAAGCCAAACUAAAAGUCAAUCUGCAAAAAUAUAUGCUUGAGUUCCUGUGCAAGUUUGUGAAGAGAAGGGUCCUAUGUUUUUAGAAAGUAGUAGUAUUUCAUAUCGUAUCGUAUUUGUAUACAGUUGCUGUACAUUUUUGCUUCAAGUGGUUACACGUCAACAUUUGUAAAAUGAAACCAUAUGGUGUGGUUAUUAUUUCCAAUGUCAACUGUUACUAGACUUAAACACCCACCUUCUCUGGACAUAUUUUUUUUUUCCAUGCAUUAGAGUACACUGCUGAAGAGUCUUUUGUUUUGCUUUAAUUUAUGUUUGUUUGAGGCCCAGUGCAAUAGAAGAUUCAUUUUGGUGGAAGACUACCUGGCAUUAAUGCAAUACAAACAAUAAGCGGUAAUAAAAAUUUGUUGUUGUUGUUUGCA